Molecule: ribosomal RNA, 1492 nt
Filed under: Pantoea vagans
Lineage: Bacteria; Pseudomonadati; Pseudomonadota; Gammaproteobacteria; Enterobacterales; Erwiniaceae
Description: bacterial LSU rRNA
Rfam family: Bacterial large subunit ribosomal RNA
Source: RNAcentral
GGGUUGUGAGGUUAAGCGACUAAGCGUACACGGUGGAUGCCCAGGCAGUCAGAGGCGAUGAAGGACGUGCUAAUCUGCGUAAAGCGACGGUAAGGUGAUAUGAACCGCUACAGCCGUCGAUGUCCGAAUGGGGAAACCCGGUGCACUCUGUGCAUCAUUGCAGCAUGAAUACAUAGUGCUGCAAGGCGAACCGGGGGAACUGAAACAUCUAAGUACCCCGAGGAAAAGAAAUCAACCGAGAUUCCCCCAGUAGCGGCGAGCGAACGGGGAGCAGCCCAGAGCCUGAAUCAGUUUGUGUGUUAGUGGAAGCGUCUGGAAAGUCGCAGGGUACAGGGUGAUACUCCCGUACACAAAAACACACAUGCUGUGAGCUCGAUGAGUAAGGCGGGACACGUGGUAUCCUGUCUGAAUAUGGGGGGACCAUCCUCCAAGGCUAAAUACUCCUGACUGACCGAUAGUGAACCAGUACCGUGAGGGAAAGGCGAAAAGAACCCCGGCGAGGGGAGUGAAACAGAACCUGAAACCGUGUACGUACAAGCAGUGGGAGCCUUCUUUAUGGGGGUGACUGCGUACCUUUUGUAUAAUGGGUCAGCGACUUAUAUUCUGUAGCAAGGUUAACCGUAUAGGGGAGCCGCAGGGAAACCGAGUCUUAACUGGGCGUUAAGUUGCAGGGUAUAGACCCGAAACCCGGUGAUCUAGCCAUGGGCAGGUUGAAGGUUGGGUAACACUAACUGGAGGACCGAACCGACUAAUGUUGAAAAAUUAGCGGAUGACCUGUGGCUGGGGGUGAAAGGCCAAUCAAACCGGGAGAUAGCUGGUUCUCCCCGAAAGCUAUUUAGGUAGCGCCUCGUGAACUCAUCUUCGGGGGUAGAGCACUGUUUCGGCUAGGGGGCCAUCCCGGCUUACCAACCCGAUGCAAACUGCGAAUACCGAAGAAUGUUAUCACGGGAGACACACGGCGGGUGCUAACGUCCGUCGUGAAGAGGGAAACAACCCAGACCGCCAGCUAAGGUCCCAAAGUCAUGGUUAAGUGGGAAACGAUGUGGGAAGGCACAGACAGCCAGGAUGUUGGCUUAGAAGCAGCCAUCAUUUAAAGAAAGCGUAAUAGCUCACUGGUCGAGUCGGCCUGCGCGGAAGAUGUAACGGGGCUAAACCAUGCACCGAAGCUGCGGCAGCGACACUAUGUGUUGUUGGGUAGGGGAGCGUUCUGUAAGCCGUCGAAGGUGUGCUGUGAGGCAUGCUGGAGGUAUCAGAAGUGCGAAUGCUGACAUAAGUAACGAUAAAGCGGGUGAAAAGCCCGCUCGCCGGAAGACCAAGGGUUCCUGUUCAACGUUAAUCGGAGCAGGGUGAGUCGACCCCUAAGGCGAGGCCGAAAGGCGUAGUCGAUGGGAAACAGGUUAAUAUUCCUGUACUCGGUGUUACUGCGAAGGGGGGACGGAGAAGGCUAUAUCAGCCGGGCGACGGUUGUCCCGGUUUAAGCGUGUAGGCGGAG